This is a long non-coding RNA of Oncorhynchus kisutch (coho salmon), 3805 nucleotides long. RefSeq lists it as uncharacterized. The transcript has 13 exons. The record is from RefSeq and is a predicted model, not a curated record. Lineage: Eukaryota; Metazoa; Chordata; Actinopteri; Salmoniformes; Salmonidae.
CUUCCAACAUGGCCGCCAGGAGGCCUCGUACGUCAACCCUCUAUUUUUUGGGGGGGGGGUGACGUCUGGUGGAUGUGCGUCUGCAACCUUUUUCUGCGGUUUCUUUCUGCCGAGAGUCAGCGGACAAUUGAAAACCGGGGGUUGUAAGAUAUCGGAUUGAGAUAAAAUAGAAGAACGACAGUUACUGAUUUGUAUUUAGUUUUAAUAAUCUGAUAACACACCAAGAUGCCACCCAGAAAACGCAACUCUGGAGCAGCACAGGACAAGGAAAUUAAACCCAGCAUAGAAAAUGCCUCCUCGGACAAGCCUGAUUUUAUCGAUAGAAAGGCACAAAGAGAAGGAUGCUGACUUUGUGACUGACAGAUGCAGUGUGUGAUCGUGCCUGGGCAAUAUGGAAGGCAGUGCAGGCCUCAGUGGACAAAGUCCCUGACACUCAAAGGCUUUGUGGUGCUUGCUUGUUUGUGGCUGUGACUGACUUGGAAGUUGCAAGUUUUACCUUUCACUCAAGUCCAGAAGGCAGUGGAUCUGAAGCGAAGAGCAACAAAGACAUACACUUUCCCUCUUCAUGCCUAGUCAGAGUUCUGGCGAGGAAGGGUUCUAGCAGAUGGGGGAUGAUGUGGUCAUAUCCUUCCAUCUGAUGGCAUGUGUGUUCUGGAGUUCUUCAUCAGGCUCUGCCCUCCUAGCCUGCUGCAGCCACUUUACAAUAAGACUUUUUGACCUUCAGUCUCGGACUUCCCCUUCCUACUGCAAGCCUCAUGCCCUCACAUUGACAUUCUCUUUCAUUUACUUAAGACAAACACCCUAUCCAUCCACUUAUAAGGUUGAGACGUUGUCAUUUGUCACACAGAAUAGGUGAAGAAUGUGUACCAGACCAGUUUCUCUGCUUUUCUGGACUCCAUAGGCCUCUCUGGGACUCAGGACCUUCCCCAGUCCCUCCUGCAGCAAAGCACCUCCACAACACGCUUCAUCAAGGCUGAGCCCAGCCGGAGUAAAGACAUCGCAAGCACAUGGAGCUCUGCGAACACCUCAUCAUGGAGACUUUCCUGGAGAAGGGACUGUCCACUGUUUGAGCUGCUGAGACAAACUCGUGAGGGUCCAGUGGAGCAGGCUGAGCCACCUGCCACCCUCAACCAAUGAUGUGAUUUAAACCAGACUUAUGGUUCCAUUCAUCUUCCUCUGUCUUUUGGUAUUUUUCCCCUGUGCGAGCCAGAAACAGACCCCAGACGGCACCUGAAUAUCCAGGCCCUCCCUCCUCUCAGCCCUCUGCCACGGCAAACCAUCAGACCCCUUGGCACCCCAAGUCAAACUCUCUCAGCCUCUUCUACAAAAAAUUGUACCGUCUGGCCCACAUGACGCUGAAGAUGCUCUAUACACACCUGCUGACCUCUCACCCUGAGCUGGAGCCAAUCAUGUGGACUUUGCUUCAGCACACACUACAACAUGAGGCCAGUAUGUGUCCAUCGUUUUCUACAACCUGGUGUUCAUGCAGAAACUGACGACCAACAUCCUGCAGUACGCCUCUCCAAGGGAAACCUGAUGGAGAUUUGACACUGAUUACAGAAGCUUUCAGAGAUAAGCUCCACUUGGACCUGCAUGCAGGAACAAAAUAUGAAGGAGGAUGCAGAGUCAGAGAAGGACAAGCCUUGAACUUAACUGAAGGACUUACUGUCCAGCAUUGUUUGAGAGUAUAGAUGCCAGAUACUACUUUCUACCCCCCCCCCCAUCUCUUUUUAAAAAAGGAAUACUUUGAGAGUAAUUUUGUGAAUUCUAAAAGUGGAUGUUUUAGAUGAGUGCUUUUAAUAUAUUUUUAUCCUUGUUAUUAAAUAAAUUUAUGGGGGAUCAUGUGAGUAUCACCAUGUUUUAUAGAGAGACACUCGUUUUAAGGGUCUGCUACAGUUGCAGCCAAAUAUAUUGGUUCCCUUGCACUUUUCUUAAAUGAUUUCCUAUUUCUUCUAAAAUAAGUUGAACUUAAAAUGCAUUUGGUCUCCACACCUUGUUAUUGGAUUUUCAACAUUGCAAAACCAAUUAUAUUUUUGUAAACUUAAGUUUUUAAUUAGGAAAAGUAAGACAUAACAUGGACAAACUUAUUUGCACCCAUGGAGCUUGUUCUUGGUUAUACAGCCUUUGCCAACAUAACUGCAGACAAACACUUCUUGUAGCCAUCAAUGAGCUUGUUGUACAUUUCUCCUGGCAAUUUGGACCACUCAUCAGCAGCAAACUGCUGUAUGUUUGAGGGGUGGCCUCCAAGUGCUGUUUUCAGAUCUCACCAUAGGUUUUGGAUGGGAUUCAGAUCUGGCCACUUUGCUGGCCACUGCAGAACAGUCCAGAAUUUCUUCUUGAACCAUUCCUGGGUGCUUUUUGAGGUGUGUUUGGGGUCACAACCUUAAGUUGAGAUCCUGUUUUUAGACACUGGGUAGAACUCCAAAACACCUUGAUAAUCUGUUGAUUUCAUUAUUCCUUGCACAUGUUCAAGGCCUCCAGUACCAGAGGCAGCAAAUCAAUCCCACAUCAUUAUCAAUCUUCCAUGUUUGAUUGUGGGUAGGGUUCUUUUAAUUGAAUGCUUAAUAUGGUCAUCGAUAAACAGCUGAACUGUAUUUUUCAAUGGUCCACAGAACAUUUUCCCCAGGAUUUAGAAGUUUAAUCAGGAUUUGUGUAUCCUUCAGUAUUGUGGUCUAUAUUUACCAGUGACCCAAAUGAAGCAUUCAAAGAAAAGAGUGCCCUCCCUACAAUCAAACAUGGGGGAAGUUCGAUAAUGCUGUGGAAUUUCUUUGCUGCCUCUGGUACUGGGGGCCUUGAACGUGUACAAGACAUCAUGAAAUCGGUAGAUUAUCAAGGUGUUUUGGAGUGCAAUGUUCAACCCAAUGUCCAAAGACGGGGUCUCUGUUGAAAGAUGUUGGUCUUUCAGCAGGACAACACCAAACACAUUAGAAGCACCCCGAAAUGGUUCAAGAAGAAGCACUGGACUAUUCUGGAGUCCAGAUCUGAACUACAUCCAAUACCUCUGGCAAGAGCUGAAAACAGCAGUUGGUGGAGGCACCCCUCAACCGUUGAAGAAUUAUAGCCGUUUUCUGCUGAAGGGGCCUCAUUGCCAGUUGAAAGGAGCAGCAAGCUCAUUGAUGACUACAAGAAGCAUUUGUCGGGAGUUAUCUUGGCCAAAGGCUGUGCAACUCCAGGGAGCCAAUCAUUUUGUCCAUGCCAUUUAUCUUUAUUUUCUAAAAUAAAUAUGAAAAUGUAAAUAGACAAAGAAUCCAAUAACCAGGUCUUUGAGAAGAAAUGGGGAUUUCUUAAGAAAAGUGCAAGUGUGCCAAUAUAUUUGGUCGCAACUGUAUACAAAAUCCUUGUUUCUUGAAAAGUCAAGGUGUAUAAUUUUGUAUAAUUUCAGCCACUAGUUUUGAAAGUGGUGUUCACGAGCCAAAACGGAUCCCCCCCCUUUUUUUUUAGUACUACGUCAUCCAUUUUGUGUGACGUUACAAAUUUUGCAAUUUGUAUGAUAUACAAUUCGUGUGACAUGUUAUGAAUCCAAUUUGUGCAAUAUGAUACGAAUUUGUAGGGCUUAGGAUCUUUAAGGUGACUUGAAGUAACCUCAUAAUUCUGAACAGGCACACCUGCAUAUGUUUUUGACAAACUAUACGCAUCUUAAGUUCAUGGACAUCCUGACAUGUUUUAUAAAUCAUGUGACUAUACAACCUGUAACUCAAUUUGCUUUCUAAAGCAUUAAAGAUUGCAGCCUUGCUAUAGUAACAUUAGUUACCUUUUCAAUAUAUCAAAUCCAUAAACGUGUAUUAAAAUCUCCUCUCCACAUUGA